GAUACUGGAGGGAGGCGGCGCCCGGGAUCGGAGCCUGAAUAGCGGGAGCGGCGGAAGUGAGCAGUGAGUCCCGGCUUUACAAUGCUCAGAAGCGGGGGCUGGUUGUC
RNAcentral lists this non-coding RNA (107 nucleotides) under Azadinium spinosum. Lineage: Eukaryota; Dinophyceae; Gonyaulacales; Amphidomataceae. The record is from RNAcentral.